UCUGCAGAUGAGAUUUACACCUUUUCGCUGUUUAUUUUAUUUACUUAUUUAAGAUUUUUUGUAAAUAACAGCUACAAUAAACCAUACUUCGUCGAAUUUGGAUGCUUUCUGUUUCCUUGAUCCAAAUUCUCAGAUAGGAACAAUAAUCUGUAUUGGAUAUCUAUAGUUAAUAGAAUAUGGAGAAUGCGUUGUAGCCUUUUAGUUG
RNAcentral lists this long non-coding RNA (205 nucleotides) under Phoenix dactylifera (date palm). Its description in RNAcentral is "long non-coding RNA (PDAC_LNC017199)". The record is from RNAcentral. Lineage: Eukaryota; Viridiplantae; Streptophyta; Magnoliopsida; Arecales; Arecaceae.